RNAcentral lists this ribosomal RNA (463 nucleotides) under uncultured bacterium. RNAcentral's name for it is "partial 16S ribosomal RNA". It matches the Rfam family "Bacterial small subunit ribosomal RNA", at positions 28 to 507 of the family's 1533-position model. The record is from RNAcentral.
GAUGAACGCUGACAGAAUGCUUAACACAUGCAAGUCGAUGGGGAAGUGGUGCUUGCACCAUGGCAACCAUGGCGGACGGGUGAGUAACGCGUAAGGGACUUACCUGCAGGACUGGGAUAACAGGGGGAAACUCCUGACAAGACCGGAUAAUGUCAUGGAGCUGCAUGGCUUUAUGAUGAAAGGAGACGCCUGCGGAGAGCCUUGCGUCCUAUUAGCUAGUUGGUGAGGUAAUGGCUCACCAAGGCGAAGAUAGGUAGCCGGCCUGAGAGGGUGGACGGCCACAAGGGGACUGAGAUACGGCCCUUACUCCUACGGGAGGCAGCAGUGGGGAAUAUUGGACAAUGGGGGCAACCCUGAUCCAGCAAUUCUGUGUGCACGAUGAAGGUUUUCGGAUUGUAAAGUGCUUUCAGCAGGGAAGAAGUAAGUGACGGUACCUGCAGAAGAAGCGACGGCUAAAUACGUG